GCCCCUUUUAACAAAAACAUAUAUAAUGAAUUUAAACUAGCAGUAACAGUUGCCAGAUACCUGCAACUUCUCAUGGCUCUUUAGCUAGUAAGCUUUUCCUCCUGUUUUGGAGGGAGAAGAGGUCGUAUUUCAUUAGUGUCAAUUUGUUAUAACUUGAAUGCUUUUUCCACAGAAGAGAAGCUCAUCUGCAGAUGUGCAUACACAGUUUCUCAAAGAUUUACAAGGUCUUCAUUCGGGUUGCAACAUAACUAAUUUUUGAACAAGCUAUAAACAGAGGGCUCCCAACAAAUAGGCAAAAACAUGCUGAUGCAGGACUACUCAUCCUCCUGGUGUCAUCAAUUCCUCAACCACAAUGUUCCAUCAUAGGAAUAGCAUCAAUCAGCAAGCCAAGCACAGACCAGGCAAACCUCCAACACAUGCCUCUCCCUUCCUCCUCCACUAGGUUUCAGGAACUUGGGCAAGGAGGAGAUUACACAGUUGAAGUGUGUCAAGCUGUUGUGUGACCUCUUCUGCCCAACGACAGUUUACAAGCUCUCGUAGCUGCAGCGGGGCUCUGCAAGAAGCAUUGCAAGAGUUACAGAGAGAAUUCAGCUCCAGGAACUAAAAGAGCAGCAUUGAAAUGAAACCAGUUCAUCAAUUCUACAGUACUGGAAAAGCCAUGGGCAAAAUGCUGAAGCU
This 678-nucleotide long non-coding RNA is filed under the name Anas platyrhynchos (mallard). Its description in RNAcentral is "lncRNA (ENSAPLG00020017001.1)". The record is from RNAcentral. Lineage: Eukaryota; Metazoa; Chordata; Aves; Anseriformes; Anatidae.